UGAGUCCUUGUAAGUUCUUUGGAACUAU
Molecule: non-coding RNA, 28 nt
Filed under: Rattus norvegicus (Norway rat)
Lineage: Eukaryota; Metazoa; Chordata; Mammalia; Rodentia; Muridae
Source: RNAcentral